CCUACGGGAGGCAGCAGUGAGGAAUAUUGGACAAUGGGCGCAAGCCUGAUCCAGCCAUGCCGCGUGCAGGAUGACGGUCCUAUGGAUUGUAAACUGCUUUUAUACAGGAAGAAACACCUCUACGUGUAGAGACUUGACGGUACUGUAAGAAUAAGGAUCGGCUAACUCCGUGCCAGCAGCCGCGGUAAUACGGAGGAUCCAAGCGUUAUCCGGAAUCAUUGGGUUUAAAGGGUCCGUAGGCGGUUUAGUAAGUCAGUGGUGAAAGCCCAUCGCUCAACGGUGGAACGGCCAUUGAUACUGCUAGACUUGAAUUAUUAGGAAGUAACUAGAAUAUGUAGUGUAGCGGUGAAAUGCUUAGAGAUUACAUGGAAUACCAAUUGCGAAGGCAGGUUACUACUAAUUGAUUGACGCUGAUGGACGAAAGCGUGGGUAGCGAACAGGAUUAGAUACCCUGGUAGUCCACGCCGUAAACGAUGGAUACUAGCUGUUGGGAGCAAUCUCAGUGGCGUAGACGAAGUAGAGUAAGUAUACCACCGUCGGGUAGGUACGAACGACGAACGUUAGUAAACGUAACGAAAGGAAAGUUAGUACGGACGUAGAGACGUAGACCGACGGACGACGACGAGGGGAGGAGGG
RNAcentral lists this ribosomal RNA (636 nucleotides) under uncultured bacterium. RNAcentral's name for it is "bacterial SSU rRNA". The stretch from base 1 to 535 matches the Rfam family "Bacterial small subunit ribosomal RNA", at positions 338 to 873 of the family's 1533-position model. The record is from RNAcentral.